GAUGAACGCUGGCGGCGUGCCUAAUACAUGCAAGUCGAGCGAACGGACGAGAAGCUUGCGUCUCUGAUGUUAGCGGCGGACGGGUGAGUAACACGUGGAUAACCUACCUAUAAGACUGGGAUAAUUUCGGGAAACCGGAGCUAAUACCGGAUAAUAUUUUGAACCGCAUGGUUCAAAAGUGAAAUACGGCGUUGCUGUCACUUAUAGAUGGAUCCGGGCUGCAUUAGCUAGUUGGUAAGGUAACGGCUUACCAAGGGAACGAUGCAUAGCCGACUUGAGAGGCUGAUCGGCCACCCUGGAACUGGACCGCGGUCAAGAGUCCUACGGGACGCCGCAGUCGGGAACCUUCCGCAGUGGGCGAAAGCCUGGCGCAGCGACGCCGAGUGAGUGAUGACGGUCUUCGGAUCGUAAAACUCUGUUAUUAGGGAAGAACAUAUGUGUAAGUAACUGUGCACAUCUUGACGGUACCUAGUCAGAAAGCCACGGCUAACUACGUG
RNAcentral lists this ribosomal RNA (497 nucleotides) under uncultured bacterium. Its description in RNAcentral is "partial 16S ribosomal RNA". It matches the Rfam family "Bacterial small subunit ribosomal RNA", at positions 28 to 507 of the family's 1533-position model. The record is from RNAcentral.